GUAAUUCGAGCGUGGGACUGUGCAAUUCUCGGAUUGGGAAAGGGAGGAGUGGAAAUAACCCCGGCAGUGCCAGGCUUGCUGGUGGUCAGGAACAGAUGAUUCCAGCCCUGUGCUGAUCGCCUGCCUUCCUCCUGCCGUUCAGAAUGCUGCUGUCUCGUGUACUUACUGUUAAGCAUCCUGGAAAAGGGAGUGGUUCCUCCUAGCUGCAAACAAGGGCGCUACUUUUCUUUUCUCUUUAAUAGAAUUACGUUUUAUAGGUGUGUCUAGGCAACACAAGGGAAUGUGAAAGACUUUCAGAGGGAAUGUUUGUGAAUACAUCUGGUGUGUACUAAAAAGCUGGAAAACCCCUAAGUAAAUGCAAUAUCGAUAGAAAGCGAGUUUCUUGAAGAGUCAUCUGCUAAACUCCACUACAGUCAUCUCUACAGGUGUGGUUAAGAGAAAAAAAAAUUGCCAUUAAGGAAUCAGCAAAUAGGAUGUCUGAAGUGAGGAUAUAGCACCUAUCUCUGAGAUUAAAGUCAUCUGAUCAAAAAUGAUGCCUCUGAGACUAUAACAAAGGAAUGAAUAAUGAAAUAUAAGAAUGGGGAUUCUGCACUAACUCUAUGGGGAAGAAAACAAUGUCUCUGUUCAUCAUGAGAAAUGCUCAGCGACUGCAGACAUAAAGAGAAAGCUUUCAAUUAAAGUUUCAAUGAUGGGAUAGGAACUGAGAAGUCUGUGGAGUUUUCUGCCUAGGAGUACCCUUGGAAAAGCCACUGCUAUGCCCAACCAGCACUGGGAAUCCCAGAUCACAUGCAAUCAUAGGAGUUGCCCUGGAGGCAGAAGCUCAGCACAUGUUCUGGUACA
Molecule: long non-coding RNA, 840 nt
Filed under: Pan troglodytes (chimpanzee)
Lineage: Eukaryota; Metazoa; Chordata; Mammalia; Primates; Hominidae
Description: lincRNA
Source: RNAcentral